This 832-nucleotide unclassified non-coding RNA is filed under the name Hevea brasiliensis (rubber tree). The record is from RNAcentral. Lineage: Eukaryota; Viridiplantae; Streptophyta; Magnoliopsida; Malpighiales; Euphorbiaceae.
GAGCCUCCCGACACAGAGGAAAAGGUUUUCAAUACUUGUUUUGAUAUCAUUAUUGCCGAAGUUGUUCAUAAUUCAUUGUAUAUUAUUGUUUUGAGUUUGGUGGAUAAUCUUGCUUUUCUAGAUGCAUAGUUGUAAUUUGCUGCUGUUACAUCAAUAUAUCAUAAACAAUAGCUAUGACUAAGAGCUUCUGUACUCUUGAUAACUAUUCGUGAUAUGCAUUCCUUGAUUUUCUUUGCAGUUAUGCAUUGAUUGUUUUUCUUAUCAGAAAUUGCUGUUGCCUAUAGUGUUUUUUGUUAGUUUUGAUCUUAUUGUGGUUUUUCUUUAGUUUUAGCUGGGUGCUCGAUGUGUUGUGUCGUCUUGGUUUUUGUUGACAGGUGUAAAAUUAUGAUCUUUUAGAGGAGAAAUUCAAUGUAUAGUUUAUUCUUUUGGCAUCUCAUUUCUUCUUUGGCAUGACAAAGCAGCACGGGAAUAUUUAUGUUUCAAUAUAACUUGUUCUCUGUGCUGUAUGAGUUUUACUAAAUGGCCUAGCAUUAGUUUGUUAUCAGAUAUAAUUCUGCACACAGCCAACCAGUUGGCGUAGCUUUUAAUGCAAAAUAUUCUAACGAGGUGUUUGCGUAUGGUAUAUUAUCCAUCUUAUACGUUUCCAUGAGUCUUGUACUUGCACAGUUUUUGCAUUGAUCCAUUCGUGAUUUCAUGUGCCUUGAAAUUCAUAUAUUUCAAUAUUUGUUAUUAUCUGAGGAGCUGAUUUUUUCACAUUCUUCUGUGAUGUUAACUGUGUUGGUAUUUUACUCUCUUCUCUGAUGUUUACAGUGAAGGCAUUUCCCAGAGAUGA